Molecule: ribosomal RNA, 537 nt
Filed under: uncultured Sporolactobacillaceae bacterium
Lineage: Bacteria; Bacillati; Bacillota; Bacilli; Caryophanales; Sporolactobacillaceae
Description: SSU rRNA
Rfam family: Bacterial small subunit ribosomal RNA
Source: RNAcentral
AGCUUGCUCCCUGAUGUUAGCGGCGGACGGGUGAGUAACACGUGGGCAACCUGCCUGUAAGACUGGGAUAACUCCGGGAAACCGGGGCUAAUACCGGAUAACCCGUUCCACCUCAUGGUGGAGCGGUAAAGGAUGGCCUCUGGCUAUCACUUACAGAUGGGCCCGCGGCGCAUUAGCUAGUUGGUAAGGUAACGGCUUACCAAGGCGACGAUGCGUAGCCGACCUGAGAGGGUGAUCGGCCACACUGGGACUGAGACACGGCCCAGACUCCUACGGGAGGCAGCAGUAGGGAAUCUUCCGCAAUGGACGAAAGUCUGACGGAGCAACGCCGCGUGAGUGAUGAAGGUUUUCGGAUCGUAAAGCUCUGUUGUUAGGGAAGAACAAGUGCCGUUUGAAUAAGGCGGCACCUUGACGGUACCUAACCAGAAAGCCACGGCUAACUACGUGCCAGCAGCCGCGGUAAUACGUAGGUGGCAAGCGUUGUCCGGAAUUAUUGGGCGUAAAGCGCGCGCAGGCGGUCUCUUAAGUCUGAUGUGA